AAAAUGAGUUUCAGAUUGCUUAUUGCACAAGCUACACAUGGAUGGUAAAUGGCACCCUCCGCUAGAUAAGUUUUCAUCUAUAGGAGAUUUAUUGUGAAAUAAUCUAAAAGCCAAGAAAGGUUGGGAGGAGGGAACCCACCUUGUGUGCCCCACAGGUUUCCCGAUGUAGAUUAGUCAUUGUUAAUGGUGGUGAAAAUUUCACAUCAAUAUCAUGGUAAUCCAAAAAAAAGAACUCCCUCUAUUCCAAUAUUUCCUAAUCCAAUAUCAUGGAGUAUAAACUUUUUUUUUCUCACCACAAGUAUCCGACUCGUAGGUAGUUCGUUGGGCCUGUAUUUUGAUU
Molecule: long non-coding RNA, 340 nt
Filed under: Trifolium pratense (red clover)
Lineage: Eukaryota; Viridiplantae; Streptophyta; Magnoliopsida; Fabales; Fabaceae
Description: long non-coding RNA (TPRA_LNC004130)
Source: RNAcentral